RNAcentral lists this ribosomal RNA (216 nucleotides) under Glomeromycotina sp. RNAcentral describes it as "partial small subunit ribosomal RNA". The stretch from base 40 to 216 matches the Rfam family "Eukaryotic small subunit ribosomal RNA", at positions 686 to 864 of the family's 1831-position model. The record is from RNAcentral. Lineage: Eukaryota; Fungi; Glomeromycota.
UGGUCAGUAGGUUGGUCGUGCCACCGGUACGUACUGGUCUCACUGAUUCCUCCUUCCUGAAGAACCGUAAUGCCAUUAAUUUGGUGUUGCGGGGAAACAGGACUGUUACUUUGAAAAAAUUAGAGUGUUUAAAGUAAGCUAACGCUUGAAUACAUUAGCAUGGAAUAAUGAAAUAGGACGAUCGAUCCUAUUUUGUUGGUUUCUAGGAUUGACGUA